RNAcentral lists this small RNA (309 nucleotides) under uncultured bacterium. RNAcentral describes it as "bacterial SSU rRNA". It matches the Rfam family "Bacterial small subunit ribosomal RNA", at positions 70 to 357 of the family's 1533-position model. The record is from RNAcentral.
GGCCACUCCGCAAGGGGUGAGUCGAGCGGCGAACGGGUGAGUAACGCGUGGAUUAUCUGCCCUGAGGUGGGGGAUAACCCGGGGAAACUCGGGCUAAUACCGCAUGAUACCGAGAGGUCAAAGGGGGCUCGCAAGGGCUCUCGCCAUAGGAGGAGUCCGCGUCCGAUUAGCUAGUUGGUAGGGUAAUGGCCUACCAAGGGAGAGAUCGGUAGCCGGCCUGAGAGGGUGAUCGGCCACACUUAAUCCCCGACACGGUGCAGNCUCCUACNGUAGGUCGNAUUGGNUGAUUCUAGAAGUCUCCUGCAAAUA